Molecule: long non-coding RNA, 587 nt
Filed under: Sus scrofa (pig)
Lineage: Eukaryota; Metazoa; Chordata; Mammalia; Artiodactyla; Suidae
Description: lncRNA (ENSSSCG00030008837.1)
Source: RNAcentral
CCCCUAUCUGAACACAGAUUUUUUAUCUUUGCACUUGUUGUAAUGGACUGCAAUUUUGGUUUACAAAUUCUGUCCAGUGGAUUUUAAGCUUCUCUAGGGCAAAGAUCAAGUUUAAUUAAUCUUUUUUUUUUUUUUUUUUUAAUUUCAGAGCUGAGUGCAGUGCUGAAGUAUGGACACACGAGGUAUUUCUGGAGUUGAAUUACUCCUGGAACCAGACUUUCACGCUGCCUUUACCCCCAGAUCUUCCAAAACUCCUUGGCCCUGCCUUUAUUCAACUUUAACUUUGGAGUCAGAGAGCUGAGGAUAGAAAGCAUUUCAUGGAUAUCUGAAAAUGGUCAGCCAGAUAUCUUCAGAACCCUUUGGAAAUGACCACCGGCAUUCUUUGGUGUUGGACCUGGAGCCCUGAAUUAACCAGAAAAGACAGGAGCUUGAUGCCUACAGAAAGCAUACAUUCUACUCUUGCACUUCAGACCCCACGUUUUAAGGGAGGACUAUGUUAUCCAUUGCUGGAAGAGGGCAGACUCAUAGGUGAACAGCAACGAGGAAAGGCAGAUGAGGACUCCUCAGGAAAAACGACACAAACCUGA